GCAGGCGGCCGCGUGGCUGAGCCACAGCCAACUUCAGUGAAAAUCAACAGGUGUGCACAGAUGUCAGGUGACCUACCCUUGUAAACAUUUGGGUGGGUGUUUGUUUACACCCAAGAUAAUGAAAAAUAACUUGAAGCUACAGGUUUGCUGAUGUCAUGGCAGCGCAUACAUAACACCAAGCUCAAGAAAUAGCCUCCCAGCAGAAAUAAAUACGGUCUCUCUAAAACCCCAAACACUGAAGUAUUUAUCUUACUAAGUUAAAUUAAAUUAUUCCUAUAAUAUUCAUUAAAAUAACUGUAUUGUUGCCUCUUACUCAUUAAUUCUGAUCCACAGAAAGCAAGUCAUGAUCUUCAUCAAUACACGAGGUUACCAACACCUUUGCUCGCUCAGCUGUUGCACUAGUUAGGUCAGGAACAGUCUGCCUAACACUGACUCGUCUGCCUAAUACUGACUCGUCACCUUUCUGCGAUCGAAAUUCUUGUUAGGAGGGGGGUAUCAUGGCCCUUCUGGAAACCUUUUUUUCUUUUCAUAUUGAGUAUUUUUCAUUAACAAGCAUUUUCACAUCAAUUAUAUUAAUUAUGGUAAGCGUCUUAGAUCUACCACUUUGUGCAAAAAGAGACAUGUACACUUAAAAGAAUGUUUGCGUGUGGAUAUUUUUUUUCGUUUGACAUUUUGCGUGCGCAGUCCUGGCGGCGGCGGCGGCGGGACACGUGCGUCCAAAGGCGGACGUCAGUCUGUGGGAGGUGCAGACUCUGUGAACACGACCAUAGCUCGCGCUGACCCACGCCUCAGCUUUGCCUUAUAUCGGCGGUCACUGGAAAAGGUUCCAUUGCUGUUUUGCCUGCUUCCUACGACUCGAAGCUCUUCGGGACGGAAGCAUCGCAUCAUAAUGGUAUGGGAAUGGAGUUUCAAUGGAAAUUCACUCAAAAAAAUCUUCGGGAAUGGGAUGGUCGAAACUUUCUACUGCUGCCCGCACUUCGCCCUUCUGCUAGUGGCGGUAACCCUGCCCGCCGUUCCGUGCCUGCUGGAGCCUCCUUUUACUUAUAUUGUGGACGACCCUACGACGCUAGAUCCUCGGCCCUUCAGUGCGACUCUCUUGCAAAAUGGCCCUGACCAACUCGGAUUUUGGCAAGUGGACUAUCUAUGAUCUUAUGUGUAUAGGUUGUCUUUUUUUAAUUUAUCUCAGAUAUUUCCAACUAAUAAAGACACAUCCGUCAGCCGCCUCCCCAUAACACAGGAACACCACUGACUCAUGUACCCCACAGGCGCGUUCCCGCACGCCAAGGGUCACGGCAUUUCCCUCCAAUCCAUUUGGCUCCAUAAUUCAUGUCCAAGAACACGGGUACACAUUACCAGUCAACCAGUGUGAUCCGACUCAACCGGAAAUGUGCAGUGACGAAAAGCUAUUGAUUCCUGGGAGGGUGUUAUUCCAGACGGAGAACCAUUGUAGAGAGGGGAGGACAGGGAGGCAGAGGGAGGGAAGAGAAACAUUGCUUGUCGAUGGAGCAGAAUGGAGGAGAAAAGGAGGAGCAGAUUGUAGACUUUUCAUUCACCAGAAAUUUCAUUCAAGUGGCUGUUAUAAAAGUGAAUUGCUUCCUGAGUCCCCCAUUCAUCCCACGACUCUUCGCCAUUUCUCAUGUUCUCUGACGAGGGAGAGGCGACCCCGUCAACACGACAUUCCUGUAUUCUUCGUUCACGGCAAUUCCUUCACGUGACUGUUUCCAUGAUUCAAGUGCAACCUGCGCUGCCACGACUUCCUGUGUUUCUUUGUUGUGCUUUGGGAAUUUUGUGACACUUUCGUUUUGCUCAAGAUACUGCAAUAUUUCAGCCUUAUGAUAUUCCUUGUGCGCAAACACCACCACGCCAGUAACGUUGUGCUGCUCUCUCCCGUGCCUCUGGGUGUGACGUCCGCUGGGCAGGACGGAGGAGACUAAGUUUUCGACGGAACCUUGCGGUCCCCAUGUCGGUGCCCCCGUCCGCUUCGCACGAGGGAAGUGGGCCAUGGACGCUUUUCCGCUGGGGGAGCUCUGGCCGGUUCCAGGUGGGUGGACGGGGCUCAGGGGAGUGACAUGUGGGUGAUGGACAAAGUGAGGGUGAGGGCAAUACUCUAGGUGGGUUAGUAGUGCUUCCCCAUUGCCUGUCUCAAGGCUCCUUGUGCUCUUAACGCUUUCCACUCGUAACGCAUACACACACACACACACACACACACACACACACGCGCGCGCGCGCGCGUACUCGCACACGCACGCACACAUACGCGCACACACACACACACACACACGACCUUUCACAGAAAUGCUCGCCAGCGUCUCCGAGGCCGUCGACACGUCCAGAGGGGAACUUCGCCAUCCCCGGGAAUGAGCGGCAGGCGCAGGAGUACCACCACAGAGCCACUAUUGUCGGCGUGCUGGUCCUUCGCAUCGACUGGAGCGCCAGGAGCCACGACCUCGCUGACUACUGAGGACAGCCACGAUGGGGUCUGAGCCAGGAGACCGUCAUGUGGCUGACUACUCAGAGCGUCCGUCGUGCCCACAGUGCAGGCGUUGUGGAUGUUGAAAACUCCACCCACACCGAAGCCCGCCCAGCCCAGUGCUCCGUCAGCAUGCACGCUAUGAAAGACGCGGCCAACCUACCCCAGCUGGCGACCCCCAGCUUCCUGGUCGACGUGAUGUCCCUGAUGGGCGGCGGGGGCAGCGUCACUCCCGAGGGGCUGGACGAGCCCGGCACCCUCGUCGUGCCUGACCAGCACGACUAAAACUCCACAAGGCUACGCGGUGUGCUGGUUGUGUCGGCUGUGUGGCGGUGGUGGUGGUGGAGGGUGUGGAAACAGGUGAGACGUGUGGUGGUAGGAGAGGUGGGGAAUGCGGAAGUUCGAGAGACAAAGAUAAGAGGGUUGGUGAUGGUGAUGCUGGCGGUGGUAGUGGUGGUGUUGACUGUGAUGGUGGCGGUUAGCAGUAGUGGCAGUGGUGGUACUACUUGCGGUGGUGAUGGUAGUGUUGCUGGGGGCAAAAAAAAGUGGUGGUAGCAGAGAUUGUGUUGUUGGCGGUGGUGGUGUCGAACGAAGUGGUGGUGGUGCCAGUUAGCGGCGGCGGUGGUGGUGGUGAUGGGGGCGGAGCAGAAUGGGCUAACCCACCACACCUCGAGGGGCGGGCAAGAUCUGGUCGUCUGGGUGUGGUGUUCCCUUGGCUGGCAACACCUUGUUCUAGUCACUGUUCAUUGCAUUUUGUCCACGAGAAGUUUCCUUGCGUGCCGGUGUAUUUUCUUUUUUAGUGAGUGUAAAUUUCUUUCUUUACUUUUUUUGUUAUCUUUUGUGCAUUGUGAUGCGCGCAUGUAAUUCUCUCUUGCCAUGUUCUUGGUUCUUGAGUCUUGACAUCCUCAUCUUGGGUUAUGAAUACUUUACUCACUCUAUUACACUUCUUCCGCGAUCUUUUCCGUUUCGUGAGUCCGAUACAGUGAUUGUUAUUCGUUGCCACCACGCACGAGUGCUCUUAUUCUUUACUCCAAACUGUCCUCAUCUUGUAAUUAUUAUAUAUAUUUGUUCAAUAAAAUUCCUGAUCCUAA
Eriocheir sinensis (Chinese mitten crab) is the source of this 3561-nucleotide RNA transcript. RefSeq lists it as uncharacterized. The transcript has 5 exons. The record is from RefSeq and is a predicted model, not a curated record. Lineage: Eukaryota; Metazoa; Arthropoda; Malacostraca; Decapoda; Varunidae.